UACAGAGGGUGCGAGCGUUGUCCGGAAUCACUGGGCGUAAAGGGUUCGUAGGUGGCCACUUAAGUCAGACGUGAAAUCCCUCAGCUUAACUGGGGAACUGCGUCUGAUACUGAGUGGCUUGAGUGCAGGAGAGGGAUGCGGAAUUCCAGGUGUAGCGGUGAAAUGCGUAGAUAUCUGGAGGAACACCGGUGGCGAAGGCGGCAUCCUGGACUGUAACUGACACUGAGGAACGAAAGCCAGGGGAGCAAACGGG
This 253-nucleotide ribosomal RNA is filed under the name uncultured bacterium. RNAcentral's name for it is "partial 16S ribosomal RNA". It matches the Rfam family "Bacterial small subunit ribosomal RNA", at positions 524 to 776 of the family's 1533-position model. The record is from RNAcentral.